GGGCAAAGUCUUUAGCAUUGAGAAUGAAGAGACAGCAAUGGAUUUAGGAAACAUUGCAAAGAAAGAGCAAAUUGGAUUUGGUGACAACCUAGAUGUUGGGGUAGAAGAAAAUGAACGGAAUUGAAUGUGAUACUAAACCUGGGUAGUGGAGAGGAUAGUGGAAAUAGUGACAUUGAUUGAGAAUGUAGAGCUUGAGGGCGCAAUCAAUGAGUUUAGUUUUUACCAUACAGAAUUUGAACAGUGAUAGGACAUCCAGGAGAUGUCAGAUAUGUGAGACUGAACAGAAAGAGACAGACUUUGAAAUUACUGACGUAAAGUUGGCCGUUGAAACCAUGAGAACAGAUGAAGCAACUCAGAGAUAAGGUGUUAUGGCAGAAGAAUAAAGAGCUUAGGAUAGAUCUCUGAGAAGACAUUGACAUUAGGGGGAGAGGGAAGGGAAGUGGAAUCAGAGGUCUUUAAAAUUGUUGAUGGGGUCAUUGGUAACCUUGGUAAGAGCAGUUUCAGUGGAUUAAAAAACCUAAAUUGAAAGAAACCCAAAGAGGAAGCUGAAGCAGUAAGAAUACAAUAUGUACACAAUCAUCUUGAAGGCAAAGGAAAGAGGGAACUGAUGUGAUAAUUGGACAGUUUUUUUUAUCAAGAAAGGGAUGUUUAAAUAUUGUGGUUAACAGGGUGUGGUGGGGCGCAUGCCCCACGCUGGCAGAAAAGGGCUUAAACCAACCCCAGGGAAGCUGUGCAGGAGGCAGCCAAUUAGGAAAGGGCUUGUAGAGACAGCCAAUUGGGAGAAGGGUUAGAGAGACAGCCAGUCAGGGCCAGGCCGGACCAUAUAAGAAGGGCUGCUGAACAAAGCAGCUUGAGUCACUUCCUGGAGUUCGAGGAGGUAGGACUGGCUGCCCUGAAGGAGGGAGAGGAGACAGCACCAUGGUGAGAGCAGUGCUGGGCGGGGUCAGGGGAGCAGGAGUGAGCUCCCAGCUGACCACUGCCAGAGUGAGGCCCUGAUACAAAGGCGGAGAAGGUGCUAGGGCUGCAGGGAAGGGGCCCAGGGAAACAGACGGCAGGGGUUGGAGAUGACGCAGCACAUGGCUGCUGCCCCCCCUCCCCCUUUGGCCCCAGCUGCUAUUGACGCAGGUGGCUAGACACGGGACUUCAGCCUGCCACGAGGCAAGUGGCUGCACAAAGGACUGCCACCACCGCCCCUUGCCUACCCCUCCUCCCCCCGAAGGGGGGGAGAGAAACAAAUGGGGAACAGCCAGAGGGCUGUGUCCAGAAGAGGACACCGUGGUCCUGUGAGCAACAUGGGCCUGGGGACAGAAGUGAAAGUGGCGAGAUGCCCCUGGAUGAAGAUGCACUGGCAAACCAGAGGUAAUUCCUUGGAUGGACAGCAGGAGGCGCCAAAGUGCUUUCUCCCGCAUUCACUCUCCUUCCUGUGCACUGAAUGAAGCAAGGGUCUUGCAGAUCAAGCAUGGGAUCAUCUACCAUAGUAUUGGGGAGUUAUUUGUGGGACCAAAAUAAGACAAGACCUGGUCUUCUCAGGGUUUCCACUCCUGAAUGGUAGAAAUGCAGCAUGAAAACUGGGCCUCGAAUUAUUUCAGCCCACCGAGG
Long non-coding RNA from Chelonia mydas (Green sea turtle), 1599 nucleotides. RefSeq lists it as uncharacterized. The record is from RefSeq and is a predicted model, not a curated record. Lineage: Eukaryota; Metazoa; Chordata; Testudines; Cheloniidae. The transcript is spliced from 3 exons.